This 447-nucleotide ribosomal RNA is filed under the name uncultured bacterium. RNAcentral describes it as "bacterial SSU rRNA". It matches the Rfam family "Bacterial small subunit ribosomal RNA", at positions 28 to 470 of the family's 1533-position model. The record is from RNAcentral.
GAUGAACGCUAGCGGCAGGCCUAAUACAUGCAAGUCGAGGGGCAGCACGGUUAGCAAUAACUGGUGGCGACCGGCGCACGGGUGCGUAACACGUAUACAAUCUACCUUAAACAGGGGGAUAGCCUUUCGAAAGAGAGAUUAAUACCCCGUAAUAAAUUGAACGGCAUCGUUUGAUUUUGAAAGCUCCGGCGGUUUGAGAUGAGUAUGCGUCUGAUUAGCUAGUUGGUGAGGUAACGGCUCACCAAGGCGACGAUCAGUAGGGGAUCUGAGAGGACUAACCCCCACACUGGUACUGAGACACGGACCAGACUCCUACGGGAGGCAGCAGUAAGGAAUAUUGGUCAAGUGGAGGCAACUCUGAACCAGCCAUGCCGCGUGCAGGAUGACGGCCCUAUGGGUUGUAAACUGUCUUUAUACAAGAGAAAACCCUGGUACGUGUACCAGGUU